This is a small nuclear RNA of Suricata suricatta (meerkat), 105 nucleotides long. The record is from Ensembl. NCBI's taxonomy places the organism in Eukaryota, Metazoa, Chordata, Mammalia, Carnivora, Herpestidae.
GUGCCCACUUCAGCAGCCCAUAUACUAAAACUGGAAUGAUACAGAGAUUAGUGUGGACCCCUGUGCAAGGAUGAUAUGCAAAUUGGUGAAGUGUUCCAUAAAAAA